GGAGAGGUGCCUGAGCGGUUGAAAGGGCUGGUCUCGAAAACCAGUGUACUCGUCAGGGUACCGUGGGUUCGAAUCCCACCCUCUCCG
Molecule: transfer RNA, 87 nt
Filed under: Bacteroidota bacterium
Lineage: Bacteria; Pseudomonadati; Bacteroidota
Description: tRNA-Ser
Rfam family: tRNA
About the family: Transfer RNA (tRNA) molecules are approximately 80 nucleotides in length.
Source: RNAcentral